UACAGAGGUCUCAAGCGUUGUUCGGAUUCACUGGGCGUAAAGGGCGCGUAGGUGGUGGCUUAAGCGUGCGGUGAAAGCUCGGGGCUCAACCCCGAGUCGGCCGUGCGAACUGGGCUCACUGGAGCAUAGUAGAGGCAGGUGGAAUUCCGGGUGUAGCGGUGGAAUGCGUAGAGAUCCGGAAGAACACCGGUGGCGAAGGCGGCCUGCUGGGCUAUGGCUGACACUGAGGCGCGACAGCGUGGGGAGCAAACAGG
This 254-nucleotide ribosomal RNA is filed under the name uncultured bacterium. RNAcentral describes it as "partial 16S ribosomal RNA". It matches the Rfam family "Bacterial small subunit ribosomal RNA", at positions 524 to 776 of the family's 1533-position model. The record is from RNAcentral.